UCCUGGCUGGCUUAGUCCGUAAAAGCAUGAGACUCUUGAUCUUGGGGUCAUGAGUUCAAGCCCCAUGUUGGGCC
This 74-nucleotide transfer RNA is filed under the name Felis catus (domestic cat). It matches the Rfam family "tRNA". Rfam says of the family: Transfer RNA (tRNA) molecules are approximately 80 nucleotides in length. The record is from Rfam by way of RNAcentral. Lineage: Eukaryota; Metazoa; Chordata; Mammalia; Carnivora; Felidae.